RNAcentral lists this ribosomal RNA (254 nucleotides) under uncultured bacterium. RNAcentral's name for it is "partial 16S ribosomal RNA". It matches the Rfam family "Bacterial small subunit ribosomal RNA", at positions 524 to 776 of the family's 1533-position model. The record is from RNAcentral.
UACGGGGGGAGCAAGCGUUGUUCGGAUUUACUGGGCGUAAAGGGCGCGUAGGCGGUCGUGACAAGUCACUUGUGAAAUCUCCGGGCUUAACUCGGAACGGUCAAGUGAUACUGUCGUGCUAGAGUACAGAAGGGGCAACUGGAAUUCUCGGUGUAGCGGUGAAAUGCGUAGAUAUCGAGAGGAACACCUGCGGCGAAGGCGGGUUGCUGGGCUGAUACUGACGCUGAGGCGCGAAAGCUAGGGGAGCAAACAGG